UACGGGGGGGGCAAGCGUUGUUCGGAAUUACUGGGCGUAAAGGGCUCGUAGGUGGCCAACUAAGUCAGACGUGAAAUCCCCAGGCUCAACUUGGGAACUGCGUCUGAUACUGGAUGGCUUGAAUUCGGGAGAGGGAUGCAGAAUUCCAGGUGUAGCGGUGAAAUGCGUAGAGAUCUGGAGGAACACCGAUGGCGAAGGCAGCCUUCUGGGCCAACACUGACGCUCAUGCACGAAAGCGUGGGGAGCAAACAGG
Molecule: ribosomal RNA, 253 nt
Filed under: uncultured bacterium
Lineage: Bacteria
Description: partial 16S ribosomal RNA
Rfam family: Bacterial small subunit ribosomal RNA
Source: RNAcentral